UACGUAGGGGGCUAGCGUUGUCCGGAAUCAUUGGGCGUAAAGAGCGUGUAGGCGGCCCGGUAAGUCCGCUGUGAAAGUCCAGGGCUCAACCCUGGGAUGCCGGUGGAUACUGUCGGGCUCGAGUCCGGAAGAGGCGAGUGGAAUUCCUGGUGUAGCGGUGAAAUGCGUAGAUAUCGGAAGGAACAUCAGUGGCGAAGGCGACUUCCUGGACCAAUACUGACGCUCAGGUGCGAAAGCGUGGGGAGCAAACAGG
Molecule: ribosomal RNA, 253 nt
Filed under: uncultured bacterium
Lineage: Bacteria
Description: partial 16S ribosomal RNA
Rfam family: Bacterial small subunit ribosomal RNA
Source: RNAcentral